This 249-nucleotide ribosomal RNA is filed under the name uncultured Porphyromonas sp. RNAcentral describes it as "partial 16S ribosomal RNA". It matches the Rfam family "Bacterial small subunit ribosomal RNA", at positions 90 to 339 of the family's 1533-position model. The record is from RNAcentral. Lineage: Bacteria; Pseudomonadati; Bacteroidota; Bacteroidia; Bacteroidales; Porphyromonadaceae.
GGCGACCGGCGCACGGGUGCGUAACGCGUAUGCAACUUGCCUCACAGAGGGGGAUAACCCGUCGAAAGACGGACUAAUACCGCGUACACUUGGAGGGAGGCAUCUUCCACCAAGGAAAUGAAUUUCGCUGUGAGAUAGGCAUGCGUCCCAUUAGCUAGUUGGUGAGGUAACGGCUCACCAAGGCAACGAUGGGUAGGGGAACUGAGAGGUUGAACCCCCACACUGGUACUGAGACACGGACCAGACUCC